RNAcentral lists this small RNA (963 nucleotides) under Pongo abelii (Sumatran orangutan). RNAcentral describes it as "processed transcript". Lineage: Eukaryota; Metazoa; Chordata; Mammalia; Primates; Hominidae. The record is from RNAcentral.
AUUUUAUCUUCCAGGCAAGGAUAUUUGGACCGAUCUUUUACAUGUUCCACAAGAAGUGCAGCUUAUAAUCCAAGCUAUUACUCAGGCCCAGGCCUGGGAGUGCUUGCAAGAUAUAGUUGGGGUAAAAUGUUGACUUUUGGUGGACACCACGGAGUCACAUUGAUGCAGAUAAGGCACAUGGCUGUGGCAGGAUUCAGCUCCUUCAUCAAUUUUCAGAUAAUCCUUCCUCAGACAGUUUUCUUGGCUCAGGCGAUUUAAGAACCUUUGGCCAGAGUGCAAAUGGCCAAUGGAGAAAUUCUACUCCAUCGUCAAGCUCAUCUUUACAAAAAUCAAGAAACAGCCGAAGUCUUUACCUCGAAACCCGAAAGACCUCAAGUGGAUUAUCAAACAUUUUUGCGGGAAAGUCAAACCAUCACUGCCAUGUAUCUGCAUAUGAAAAAUCUUUUCCUAUUAAACCUGUUCCAAGUCCAUCUUGGAGUGGUUCAUGUCGUCGAAGUCUUUUGAGCCCCAAGAAAACUCAGAGGCGACAUGUUAGUACAGCAGAAGAGGAAUAUGAAGUCUUCUGCAAAAUUAACAAUUAAGAUGAUGUCACCACUGCACUGCUCAGUCUUACAACAGAGGUUUGAAGAGAACACAUGAAGAAGAAUUUAGAAAUAUGCAAGUAGUGGCUGUGCAGAAUGGUUGACUCAAGAGGCAACAUCAAAAAGCUGUGCUAUUCAGUAGGGUAACUGCUAGCCACAAGCUCUGUUUAAAUUAAUUCAAAUUCAAAUUUAAAAUUUAGUUACUCAAUGACACUAGCCACAUUUUAAGUAUUCAUUAGCCACAUGUGGCUAGUGGCUACCAUAUUGGACAGGGCAAAUAUAGAACAUUUCUGUUACUACAGAAAUUUCUGUUAGAUAGUGCUGUUAUAGAGGAUAUAAAGUUCUGUUUGGAAAAGAGAAAAUACUUGUGACAGUAAAAAUG